Molecule: long non-coding RNA, 1906 nt
Organism: Canis lupus familiaris (dog)
Lineage: Eukaryota; Metazoa; Chordata; Mammalia; Carnivora; Canidae
Exons: 2
Source: RefSeq, a predicted model, not a curated record
UAAUCUCCUUGAAAGUUUUUGUUCUGUAAAAAUGACUGCAUUCUGUGUAGGAUCUCUGAGAAACCAGAGAAGAAAUGCUAAAACAAUUAUUAGGGAAAGUAGGACAAAGAACAUUGGAGAAAGAGAACUCAUAGUGAAGAGAUGAGCCCCAGAGGAGUAAUCAAGUAGAAAUUCUCCAAGUAGAUAAUCAACAUGCAUAUAAUAACCAUGAUAUAUGUCUUAUAUUGUAUGGGCUGCAAGAAACUAAGUAUUGUUAGGUUGUGCAUUUGUUUGGAAGCGGGAGAGCUAGGUUCUUGUCUCACAGAGUUGAAAAAUAAAUCUUGGAGACAAAAGAGAGUGAGUAUAGUGAUAGAGUUUUAUUAAGCAAAAAUGCAGAAAAAGCUCUUAGGAGUGAGAAAGGUCCCAACAGGGUUGCCACUGAGGGCUUUUAGGGUUGGUCUUUGAUUGAAGGCUAACCAGGGAACUUAAAACUUAUUCUCUACUGACAGCAUCUUUAUGUAAGCAAUAAUACUUAGUGAUAACUUAGUAAUACUAGUGAUAACACCUUUAUUGGCUUAUUUCUUUUUAGGGUCUUUGUAUUUCCUGUUGACCAUAGGUGACUGUCAUAAAAAAGAUACCCCCCCUUCCCCUCAGACACCUAGAGCAGAGUGGUCUGAUGUGUUCACUUAUCUCUGGUUUCCUUACACCUCUGCAUUUUUUGGGAUUUCUGUGAGCCUGAUCACAUAGCCACCUAUCUAUCCCUCCUACCCAGCCCUGUCUGUCCCUUACUCAUUAUCAUCAUAAAUGAAAGAAAUAUACAGUCAUGAAAAGAUGGUUUUCUGGAUAAUUUGAGACUGAUCAUACUUUCUAAAAUCUGUGUUUAGUUAGGACUCCUGUUUAGUUGUGAUGCUUUUUAAAAGAGUUUCUUUUUGACUUACUAAGUAUUGUUGCUAAUUGUGUUUACAUCUAAUUGUAUCAAUGAAGUAGAAGGCCUUAGUAUAUUUUUUAAAGGUCUUAUUUGAGAGAGAGCACCAGUACCUGCACACAUGAGUGUCGGAGGGGCUGAGGGAGAAGCAGACUCCUCACUGAGCACAGAGCCUAAUAUAGGGCUUGAUCCUGGGUGGCUGAGAUCAUGACCUGAGCCGAAGUCAGACACUUAACGAACUGAUCCAUCCCAGCACCCCAGCCUUCAUGUUUUUAAAAUAACUCUAACAUGCCAUAAAAUCAUAUAUUACUGUGUAUAAAUGAUUAGAUAUAAUUAGGCUGACAAAGACAUAGGACUAGAAAUACACUCGGGGUUAGAUUGGGUGGCUUUUAAAAAUACGUGUCUGAGAUGAACAAAUGAAUGCAAACAAAAGAACAAAGGUAGCAAUACCAAGUAGAGGACAGUAAGGAGUUCAACGAACUUGUAGAAAGGGAUGACUUUAGGGAAAUUAAAUUAGAUUGGUUGAUAGGAUAAAUAAUAUCCUAAUAAGAAGGCAAACAAGAUUUUAAAAUUUUAUUUUAAAAUUUCCGAUAUAUUGCAGACCAGUGUGUAAAAUAUAAUAUAAAUGAAAAGCCACAGAAUAUAUGCCUCAAUUUUUUAUUAGUAGAUUCAGUAGCCAUACAUGGAUAAUGUCUCAUGUUCUUUUUCCUCUUUAAUUCUUCCUUUUCCUUUCUUUUUGCUUUUGAGGUUUGUAGUUUAUUUAAAAACAGCAUUUUUCCAUGUUUCAACAUAUAACCAAAAUGAUCCCAGAGAAAUGGAAAGCCUGAUCUUCAUGAAUACUUAGAAUGUUGCAGAUGAGACAGCAGAGAAGAAAUGGAAUAACUACCAACAGUAGCUGGGGGCCAGAAUAAUGCCAUAGAACAACCCAAAUGGAGGAAUAAUUUCAAAGAAAGAUGAAAAAGAAAAAAAAAAAAAAAAACUCCCAGUGAAUGAUACAGAAGA